Molecule: unclassified non-coding RNA, 339 nt
Filed under: soil metagenome
Description: partial contains 5.8S ribosomal RNA, internal transcribed spacer 2, and large subunit ribosomal RNA
Rfam family: 5.8S ribosomal RNA (bases 1-120)
Source: RNAcentral
GAUGAAGAACGUAGUGAAAUGCGAUAACUAAUGUGAAUUGCAGAACUCAGUGAAUCAUCGAGUCUUUGAACGCACAUUGCGCCCCCUGGUAUUCCGGGGGGCAUGCCUGUCCGAGCGUCAUUGCUGCCCUCAAGCACGGCUUGUGUGUUGGGCUCCGUCCCCCCGGGGACGGGCCCGAAAGGCAGCGGCGGCACCGAGUCCGGUCCUCGAGCGUAUGGGGCUUUGUCACCCGCUCUGUAGGCCCGGCCGGCGCCAGCCGACAACCCAUCAUCCUUUUCAGGUUGACCUCGGAUCAGGUAGGGAUACCCGCUGAACUUAAGCAUAUCAAUAAGCGGAGGA